UUAUGAUAAAGCCAAAAGAGG
This 21-nucleotide microRNA is filed under the name Macaca fascicularis (crab-eating macaque). RNAcentral's name for it is "novel_miR32-5p". The record is from RNAcentral. Lineage: Eukaryota; Metazoa; Chordata; Mammalia; Primates; Cercopithecidae.